This 1238-nucleotide long non-coding RNA is filed under the name Sus scrofa (pig). RNAcentral describes it as "lncRNA (ENSSSCG00035072542.1)". Lineage: Eukaryota; Metazoa; Chordata; Mammalia; Artiodactyla; Suidae. The record is from RNAcentral.
CUCCUCCUUGGCAACCACAAGUCUGUUCUCUGCGUCUGUUUCUGUUCUGUAGAUAGGUUCAUUUGAGCCAUAUUUUAGAUUCCACAUAUAAGUGACACCAUAUGGCAUUUGUCUUUCUCUUUCUGAUUUACUUCACUUAGGAUGAGAAUCUCUAGUUGCAUCCACUUGCUGCAAAUGGCAUUAUUCUGUCAUUUUUAUGGCUGAGUCGUAUUCCAUUGUAUACAUGUACCACAUCUUCUCAAUCCCUUUAUGGAGGGGAGGUAAAAGACGAGUAAAGGGUUGCUUUUCCUCCAUGGAGCCCUUACUUUUCGGUGGGUACAAGAUCCCAACUCUAGGAUUUUGCAGGCUUUGCAUGACUGUCUAUGUGUGACCUUAAAACAAAAAAUCCAAGUUCAUUUUUUUUUUGUUCUUCCUUCAAACAGUGAAUAAUAAAUGCUUAGAACUAUUAAAAAAAAAAAAACCAAUCCAAGUCCUCCAGUUAGUUGGUAAGAGGUCUGACUUUCCUUCAAAUACACACAAUUCCUGGGAAGAAUGAGUUGUUCCCGACAUUCAGUGUCACCAUCUGGACACCAACUGACUUGGCAAAUAAAACAUGUGAAGAAUGCUGGUCUUUAAUAAAAUGGAUUGCUCUUGGCCUGCAGAUGAAAAUGAACUCAAAAGAGCCAAAUUAUAUAAUUUCCGGCCAAUCUGGGGAUGAUCAACUUCGAAACCUUUGUGGACCCUUUCUUUCCCUGUAUCAUCAUUUGUCAUAUUCUGCUUCCCGUGUUUUUGGAAAGACGGCUGGGUGGAAACCAGGCUGCAGCCGUCAGGCAGCUGUCUUCUGCUAAUGAAGUGCACUUGUGUGAGGUUUUGAAGGUAGAAGAGAAAUGGAAUAUAUUCUUCUUCCCUGUGCAUCGAGGUUGGACAUGGAAGCUGUGAACUGAAGUUUGGCACUUGCCAUCAGCCUCUACAUGGAGUAAAACAGUCCCUGCAGCUGCCGACCCACAAGCCCCCUGAGCGGACCUCAGGGUGGAGGCCAGAGGGAGGCCCUCUGUGCUCUGGGGAUACUGGAAGAACAGGUCUUCAGAUGGUUAGACAUUUUUAGGAGAAGAUUUUAUGAGCCUGAUUCUUGCAUCUCCUCAUAUCUAGAAAAACACUAAAAUUCUUCAGUGAUGACUGAUGUUGGUGACUAGUAGUAACCCUCACGAGACCAGCAGCAAACUUCGACAAAACGUAUGCCUGGCUGCAUGCACCUCCCC